This 81-nucleotide transfer RNA is filed under the name Plectosphaerella plurivora. RNAcentral's name for it is "tRNA-Val". It matches the Rfam family "tRNA". From Rfam's summary of the family: Transfer RNA (tRNA) molecules are approximately 80 nucleotides in length. Their secondary structure includes four short double-helical elements and three loops (D, anti-codon, and T loops). The record is from RNAcentral. Lineage: Eukaryota; Fungi; Ascomycota; Sordariomycetes; Glomerellales; Plectosphaerellaceae.
GACUGCGUGGCGCAGUGGAAGCGCGUUGUGCUCACAUUCUGAGAGCCACAAAGGCCCGUGGAUCGAAACCGCGCGUGGUCA